AACGCGAAGAACCUUACCAGGGUUUGACAUGCACCUGACGACGUCAGAGAUGACGUUUUCUCGCAAGAGACGGGUGCACAGGUGCUGCAUGGCUGUCGUCAGCUCGUGCCGUGAGGUGUUGGGUUAAGUCCCGCAACGAGCGCAACCCUUGUCACUAGUUGCCAACACGUAAUGGUGGGCCCUCUAGUGAGACUGCCUGGGUUAACCAGGAGGAAGGUGAGGAUGACGUCAAGUCCGCAUGGCCUUUAUGCCCUGGGCUACACACGUGCUACAAUGGUACAGAAGGCGGCGAAACCGUGAGGUGGAGCAAAUCCUUAAAGCCGGCCCCAGUUCAGAUUGUAGUCUGCAACUCGACUACAUGAAGAUGGAAUUGCUAGUAAUGGCGAGUCAGCAACAUUGCCGUGAAUACGUUCCCGGGCCUUGUACACACCGCUCGUC
Molecule: ribosomal RNA, 438 nt
Filed under: uncultured bacterium
Lineage: Bacteria
Description: bacterial SSU rRNA
Rfam family: Bacterial small subunit ribosomal RNA
Source: RNAcentral